Molecule: ribosomal RNA, 245 nt
Filed under: uncultured bacterium
Lineage: Bacteria
Description: partial 16S ribosomal RNA
Rfam family: Bacterial small subunit ribosomal RNA
Source: RNAcentral
UACGAAGGGGGCUAGCGUUGCUCGGAAUCACUGGGCGUAAAGCGCACGUAGGGACGUAUCGAAGUCAGGGGUGAAAUCCUGGAGCUCAACUCCAGAACUGCCCUUGAUACUGGCGAUCUCGAGUCCGGGAGAGGUGAGUGGAACUGCGAGUGUAGAGGUGAAAUUCGUAGAUAUUCGCAAGAACACCAGUGGCGAAGGCGGCUCACUGGCCCGGUACUGACGCUGAGGUGCGAAAGCGUGGGGAG